Molecule: ribosomal RNA, 468 nt
Filed under: uncultured bacterium
Lineage: Bacteria
Description: partial 16S ribosomal RNA
Rfam family: Bacterial small subunit ribosomal RNA
Source: RNAcentral
GACGAACGCUGGCGGCGUGCUUAACACAUGCAAGUCGAACGGAAAGGCCCUGCUUUCGUGGGGUGCUCGAGUGGCGAACGCGUGAGUAACACGUGAGUAACCUGCCCUUGACUUUGGGAUAACUUCAGGAAACUGGGGUUAAUACCGGAUAGGAGCUCCUGCUGCAUGGUGGGGGUUGGAAAGUUUCUGCGGUUGGGGAUGGACUCGCGGCUUAUCAGCUUGUUGGUGGGGUAGUGGCUUACCCAGGCUUUGACGGGUAGGCGGCCUGAGAGGGUGACCGGGCACAUUGGGCCUACGGGACGGACCAGACUCCUACGGGAGGCAGCAGUGGGGAGUAUUACACAAUGGGCGGAAGCCUGAUGCAGCAGCGCCGCGUGCGGGAUGACGGCCUUCGGGUUGUAAACAGCUUUAGCCUAUGACGAAGCGUGAGUGACGGUAAUGGGUAAAGAAGCACCGGCUAACUACGUG